GUCUGAAUAGCUUAUAAAGAGCGUAACACUGAAGAUGUUAAGGAGAUUUUAGGAUCUUUAGACA
This 64-nucleotide transfer RNA is filed under the name Maccaffertium mediopunctatum. RNAcentral describes it as "tRNA-Phe". Lineage: Eukaryota; Metazoa; Arthropoda; Insecta; Ephemeroptera; Heptageniidae. The record is from RNAcentral.